GUGACAUGUCGAGCGGAUGUCGGGAGCUUGCUCCUUGAUUCAGCGGCGGACGGGUGAGUAAUGCCUAGGAAUCUGCCUGGUAGUGGGGGACAACGUUUCGAAAGGAACGCUAAUACCGCAUACGUCCUACGGGAGAAAGCAGGGGACCUUCGGGCCUUGCGCUAUCAGAUGAGCCUAGGUCGGAUUAGCUAGUUGGUGGGGUAAUGGCUCACCAAGGCGACGAUCCGUAACUGGUCUGAGAGGAUGAUCAGUCACACUGGAACUGAGACACGGUCCAGACUCCUACGGGAGGCAGCAGUGGGGAAUAUUGGACAAUGGGCGAAAGCCUGAUCCAGCCAUGCCGCGUGUGUGAAGAAGGUCUUCGGAUUGUAAAGCACUUUAAGUUGGGAGGAAGGGCAGUAAGUUAAUACCUUGCUGUUUUGACGUUACCGACAGAAUAAGCACCGGCUAACUCUGUGCCAGCAGCCGCGGUAAUACAGAGGGUGCAAGCGUUAAUCGGAAUUACUGGGCGUAAAGCGCGCGUAGGUGGUUUGUUAAGUUGGAUGUGAAAGCCCCGGGCUCAACCUGGGAACUGCAUCCAAAACUGGCAAGCUAGAGUAC
RNAcentral lists this ribosomal RNA (600 nucleotides) under Pseudomonas putida. RNAcentral describes it as "bacterial SSU rRNA". It matches the Rfam family "Bacterial small subunit ribosomal RNA", at positions 55 to 649 of the family's 1533-position model. Lineage: Bacteria; Pseudomonadati; Pseudomonadota; Gammaproteobacteria; Pseudomonadales; Pseudomonadaceae. The record is from RNAcentral.